GUUUGCACCCUGUUGAAGCCUGUUUGUCUUGAGGUGGCAAAUCCAGUAUUUUGCACCCUGGUAAAUUGCUGCUUUUCUUCUUUUCCUACAUGGGUUGUACAAAUUGAAAAGGUUUUUUCUAAGGAAGACAUUUUAAACUUUAUUAUCACUUGUUCCUGCUAUUCAAACCUGAUAGAGCGCCUAUGAAAACCAGGAUGAUCAGAAGGACAAAAUUCCUCAACCUGCUGGAAAAGUCUGGGGCUGAGAUUGGAUCCAGCCACCCCCAGGCUCCUCUCUGGGAAGGAUUACAAGCGGAUCCCUGUGGCAGGCUUCUCUAAUAUCCCUCUUGGAUAUCUGGAUAUAUUUUCUCCUUGAUGUUUCCAGCAGAAUUAUAUUUUGUUUUCCUCUCUGGAACUGGAAUGCCACACACACAGGCAGAGGGGAAGUAACAACAUCCUUGCAGAAACAUUAUUUGCACCAAAAUAUGAAUUCAAAUAGCAGGACGUGACACAGCAAUAAUUUUCACAUCACUUUUGCAAGAUGUGUUUUCUCUAGUUAAAAAAAAACCAAAACUAUGCCUUUCUUAACUACUGCAUAAAUGAUUCCAGAUAUGUGCAUUUUGGAGUCAAUUAAGGUUUUAAAUUCUAUUUUUUUAAAUGUUGCAACAGAUGUUCCAGAUUAACUCAAGCUCCUGGAAUUUAGAUGCACUUGACAGGAAUUGGACUCCUCACCAAGUGAGCAACCACAGUUCCUUGUCUGGAAAUCAUUUCACAUCUGCUAAUUAUAGGUGCAACACCAUGACUCAAACAGAGAUGCUGAAAUUGGUCUUGCAGACUAAAUUACUUCAGAUCUCUUUUUCCCCCACUAUUUGCAAGUCGGCCUCAUUCCAUUUAAUAAGAAAUGGCCACACUCACAUUCAGUCAUGCAGCAAAAGCAGUGACAAGACCCAACACAAGACCUUUUUUUCUCCAAUUUAUCUAAGGAAGUGCAGCUAUACAGCUAGACUGAAAAAAAAAAUUGCAUUUCUGCUUGUGGAUUACGACAUGUCUGUUUUCUGAUGGGAUCUUCAGGAGCAUGGGCAAGCAGAAUUGCUUUUUUCUUUCUCCCAGAAUGAAAGCAGUGACAUUUUUCUCUUUGGAAGUUUCUAUGCAGCCCUUCAAAACCAGCUGCAAAACCCAGACCUUUAUAAAUAAAUGAUUUGCCAUUUGAAGAAACA
Molecule: long non-coding RNA, 1195 nt
Filed under: Chloebia gouldiae (Gouldian finch)
Lineage: Eukaryota; Metazoa; Chordata; Aves; Passeriformes; Passeridae
Description: Erythrura gouldiae (Gouldian finch) lncRNA (ENSEGOG00005015582.1)
Source: RNAcentral